UAAAUUCAUCACAAAUUGACGAAUUUUGUCAUAAAAUCAUCACAAAUCCUUCAUAAUUAAUAUUCUUUCACAAAUCUACGUCUUUUGGUAGUAAAGUUAUUGAGAGGGCUUGUUAUAAUUUUGUAUUUUUGGUUCAAUUUUUCGUUUCUUUUCUUAAUAUUUCAAUCAAAUAAACUUCAGAAUAUGCUAUUGCCUAGCUUCUAUAAAUUCAUUCCCUUUUAACUUCCUUCAACGCAGGUGAUUAAUUCAGUUAACAACUAUGGCUGUUAUUAUUUCAGUGAAGAUCCUACUUAUACAACUUUUCGUUCUAGUACUUGGCUCAUUCUCAAAGAUCAGCCAUGGGGAGCUGUCGCUGGAAUUCCCAUUGCCUUUCGAAUUGCCACCAGCGGAGAUCCCAUUGCCGGAGAUCCCAUUGCCUUUCGAUGGGCCUACAUUCGUGCUACCGCCACCAUCACCACCACCACCUCCACCGUCACCAUUGCCAUCACCACCUCCGCCAUCUCCAUCACCACCUCCUCCUUCGACAUUAAUACCACUUAUUCCUCCUUUUACCGGCGGUUUUUUGCCUCCUUUGCCCGGCUCUAAGCUUCCUGGCCUUUUGCCUCUGAUUCCCAACUUACCUGAUUUGCCUCCCAUAGGUGGUGGUCCACCUGUUAACCGGCCAAAGCCGUCGUCACCAUCACCCCCAGUUAAGCCGCCACCACCACCACCUUCACCAUGUAAGCCAUCACCACCUGAUCAGUCUACAAAGCAACCACCACCACCUCCGCCAUCAAAACAACCACCACCUCCACCACCAGUUAAGGCAUCAUCUCCAUCUCCAGCAAAGCAACCACCACCUCCUCCACCGCCAGUUAAGUCACCAUCUCCAUCUCCAGCAAAGCAAUCACCACCACCUCCUCGGGCACCAUCUCCAUCACCAGCUACUCAGCCACCUAUAAAGCAACCGCCACCACCAAGUGCUAAGAAAUCUCCUCCGCCACCAGUUGCUUAUCCACCAGUUAUGGCACCAUCUCCAUCACCGGCUGCUGAGCCACCUAUUAUAGCACCAUUUCCAUCACCAACAGCGAAUCUACCCCUUAUUCCCCGUCGACCAGCACCACCAGUAGUUAAGCCGCUUCCACCUUUGGGGAAGCCCCCUAUCGUCAAUGGCCUUGUUUAUUGUAAAUCCUGCAACAGCUAUGGG
This 1186-nucleotide long non-coding RNA is filed under the name Nicotiana tabacum (common tobacco). Its description in RNAcentral is "long non-coding RNA (NTAB_LNC000462)". Lineage: Eukaryota; Viridiplantae; Streptophyta; Magnoliopsida; Solanales; Solanaceae. The record is from RNAcentral.